CCCAAUCCAACCCGCGGCGCUUCCUCACACUCCGGUUGUGUUUGUCUCGCACUCGCAUUCGACUCGCCCGCCACUCAUCCGUACAUUCGGGCUCCCUUUUCUGCCGCGCCCUGUUUUCGCCCCUGCUUGUCAUACUGUCGCCCGGCCAUUGCUUUGCUGCAUACUGUUGCAUUUUCUCUGUGUUGCAUUUGGUGCUCAUCCGUGGACGCUGGUCAUCUUCCUGCAGGUGCGAUGCGGCACUGCCUCGCGAGUGUGGCGUUGCGGUGUGUCUGUGUGGUGCUAUCGCCUGGCCGGGCGCCCGGAGCGUGAGGAAUGCGCAUCAGCAAACUUGCAGCCAGCCAGCAACUCGUCGGUACAGUAACUCCGGCGUUCGACCGGCCGCGUACUCCUGCCCUGCCGUUGCAAAUUGUUUGUCAUCUGCUGGGUUCUGGGAAUCAGCUGCACCCUACGGGACUUCACCAACCUGCCUUGACACUGUCCCAUUCACACACCCUGCCCUGAUACUGGCCCCCCUUCAGGCCACGACCCGCCGACUUCUCGACUUCGGUGCGGGCCGGAUCGCCAUCCCCUUAUUUCGAUGACCAUUCGAGAUUCAUGGCACCCCUAACGGUUACCU
RNAcentral lists this long non-coding RNA (616 nucleotides) under Chlamydomonas reinhardtii. Its description in RNAcentral is "long non-coding RNA (CREI_LNC000184)". The record is from RNAcentral. Lineage: Eukaryota; Viridiplantae; Chlorophyta; Chlorophyceae; Chlamydomonadales; Chlamydomonadaceae.